GACGAACGCUGGCGGCGUGCUUAACACAUGCAAGUCGAACGUGAUUUUUGUGGAAAUUCUUUCGGGAAUGGAAAUGAAAUGAAAGUGGCGAACGGGUGAGUAACACGUGAGCAACCUACCUUACACAGGGGGAUAGCCGUUGGAAACGACGAUUAAUACCGCAUGAGACCACAGAAUCGCAUGAUAUAGGGGUCAAAGAUUUAUCGGUGUAAGAAGGGCUCGCGUCUGAUUAGCUAGUUGGAAGGGUAAAGGCCUACCAAGGCGACGAUCAGUAGCCGGUCUGAGAGGAUGAACGGCCACAUUGGAACUGAGACACAGUCCAAACUCCUACGGGAGGCAGCAGUGGGGAAUAUUGCACAAUGGGGGGAACCCUGAUGCAGCGACGCCGCGUGAGCGAAGAAGGUGUUCGAAUCGUAAAGCUCUGUCCUAUGAGAAGAUAAUGACGGUAUCAUAGGAGGAAGCCCCGGCUAAAUACGUG
This 478-nucleotide ribosomal RNA is filed under the name uncultured bacterium. RNAcentral's name for it is "partial 16S ribosomal RNA". It matches the Rfam family "Bacterial small subunit ribosomal RNA", at positions 28 to 507 of the family's 1533-position model. The record is from RNAcentral.